This is a long non-coding RNA of Galeopterus variegatus (Sunda flying lemur), 735 nucleotides long. RefSeq lists it as uncharacterized. The transcript has 2 exons. The record is from RefSeq and is a predicted model, not a curated record. NCBI's taxonomy places the organism in Eukaryota, Metazoa, Chordata, Mammalia, Dermoptera, Cynocephalidae.
GGACUUAACGGCUGCUGCUGGAAGCACGUGGGCGCGCCAGGCGCGGCCGGGAGGACGGAGGCCUGCACCGUCCGCGGCCCACCGCCCAGCCCCGCUCCGAGAAGACCUGCUCGGGGCGCCGAGCGACUGCAGUGAGCAGCCCCGAGGAUGCCGCUCCGCCCUGCUGCACACGGGGACCCUGGAGUGGAGCCCGGCCACGUCCCCCGAAGAUACCAGACAGGGGAAGGGCGGUCACCCCCACGUGCUGGAACUAGAGAGAGCUUGUUCCUUCCUAUGCAGUUUGAUUUUUUCCACAUUUUUUAUAAUGAACGUAGAUGUGUACUCUGAUUAAAAACAACAACAAAACCCACAGAACCCAAACCGUCCGGUGUUUUUUGGACAACCCAUUUAAACUAAGCUAGGUAGCUCGGAAAGAACUGGGUGUCAUCCUGGUCACUGCAUUACGAGACUGCGGGGGCAGCCCAAUCAGAAUUCCGAGAUCUGACUGAAAGCUGACCAGCGGGUGCCAGCAAGGAAUCACAUGACCAGCCACAAGGUAACAGCCAGCUAGAGCUCUGCAAAGCUGCACAUAGACCUUGCAAAGAAGCUGACUCCCUACUGAAUCUUUCCACAUUCCACUCCCUCAACAUCCUCCUUAAAAGCCCCUCAGUAAAUCUGAGCCUUUGAGAUGCUUUAUCCUGCCAUGUUCUCAGGUUGCUGGUUAUCCUGAAUAAAGCCUCCUUCCCUUUCUGCCAA